GCUAGGACAUUUACUGAGCCUUUAGCUCCCUAUAGAGAACAGCAUCAUUACAAGCAUCCAGGUCUCCAAAGCCAUGCGCGUCUUCACAGCUGCCAGUACACUCGUACUGCUCCUGCUUGCGCUUUCUCGUGCAGUGUCCUCGCGAUCACUGAUGCCGAUGACACUCCAAAGUGGGCUCUCCUCGACAGGAUCUUCCAUGGGGGGUGAAGGUACAGAACUUGAAGAAAGGUCUCUCGCCGAAAGGAACCUAGCCACAGAGCGGCUCUUACCAGAAGAACGCUCCAACAUGGAGUCGCCCCUGGUUGCGUAUCCACCCUUCAAGUGAAGAUGUUUGUCAGAAGCUCCUAAUGUUCGCAAAAAUUUACUGCGAAAACCCUCAGGGUGC
Dermacentor silvarum is the source of this 385-nucleotide long non-coding RNA. RefSeq lists it as uncharacterized. The record is from RefSeq and is a predicted model, not a curated record. NCBI's taxonomy places the organism in Eukaryota, Metazoa, Arthropoda, Arachnida, Ixodida, Ixodidae. The transcript has 2 exons.